UCUGAUCUUAUUCUAGACGAAGAAUGAAAAGCCAGGAAGCUACAUAACCCAAGAAACAACAGUCAGAUGCCAAUAACCAGGAACCACCUGCAGGACAAGCUAAGCCCAGAAACGCUGCCUUCACCUGAACUUCUGCCUCAGUGCGAGACCUGACCUGAUUUCUUGCCUCUUUCUCAUACCAACAUUUCCAUCCAGUGGGGGGAGAAAUGUACCUUGCUGGGUGCAAAAAGUGCCAAUGCAAAAGAAAAUGCAAGACUGCGCAUACUUAACCCCUCCUGGAAGAACAAACUUUUUUCAAGGAAUCCCCACCCCUGUCUCCACCUACCUGCCCAAAAGUCCUUAAAAAUUUCCCUUUACUCUACUUCCAGGGAGAAGGUGCUUUGAGCAUGAGCUCCCGUUCUCCAUUACUUGAUCAAUGAAUGGAAUUUCUGCACUGUUUUGCCAAA
RNAcentral lists this long non-coding RNA (446 nucleotides) under Pan troglodytes (chimpanzee). Its description in RNAcentral is "lincRNA". The record is from RNAcentral. Lineage: Eukaryota; Metazoa; Chordata; Mammalia; Primates; Hominidae.